UACGAGGGGGGCGAGCGUUGUUCGGAGUUACUGGGCGUAAAGGGUGUGUAGGCGGUUGUUUAAGUUUGGUGUGAAAUCUCCCGGCUCAACUGGGAGGGUGCGCCGAAUACUGAAUGACUAGAGUGUGGGAGAGGUGAGUGGAAUUCCUGGUGUAGCGGUGAAAUGCGUAGAUAUCAGGAGGAACACCGGUGGUGUAGACGGCUCACUGGACCAUAACUGACGCUGAGACACGAAAGCGUGGGUAGCAAACAGG
This 253-nucleotide ribosomal RNA is filed under the name uncultured bacterium. RNAcentral describes it as "partial 16S ribosomal RNA". It matches the Rfam family "Bacterial small subunit ribosomal RNA", at positions 524 to 776 of the family's 1533-position model. The record is from RNAcentral.